UCAUCUUUUUAAAAAAUUUUCUCAGACAGGGUAGAAGGGACCACUUUGGUGUCCAUGGAGACUUUUCUGAGGAACAUUUGGGGCAGUUUUGGGUCUGGGGAGGGAAUUUAGAGAGAACUUGGGUGUCUGGAGGACGCUAGGGGGAGCUGGGUGGGCACUUGGAGGGGCACUUAGGGAUUCUGUGGUACAAUUAGGAGCCCGGGGGAGCACUUGGGGGUCCAGGGGGGCACUUGGAGGUCAGGGAGGGGAUCCGGAGGCCCUUCGGGGUCCGGGCGGGCACUUGGGGGACUGUAACAGGGAAUCUACGGGCCGCGGGAGAUGAUGGGAGUUGUAGGCGCCGGUAUAAUACGAUUUAAUGGAACCGCGGAGCAUCACGGGAGUUGUAGACGCAGCUUCAAUGGAUUUCGGUGAGGCGCGGGGCAUGACGGGAGAUGCAGUCCCGGCUGGAAGUGGCUCGGGAGGUGAUAACGAUCCUAGGUGAUGCUUAUCAGCCUGAGAGGAAGAGCAGAACAAGGGCCAUCAGGCUAGACAAUGAGAGGAGCCUAAAUCUAAUAUUUUAGGUUCGUUAUUAAAAGAAGUUUUCAUUUCGUGUUUUAAAUUUUUCCCUUCCCAAUACAUUUUUCCCCCAAUAGUACACGGUUUUAAGUUUGCUUUAUUGUAGCAAAGAGGGUUGACUUGAAAAUAAGCUAUAAAAGUUGAUUGCCUCUUCCCCCCAAUCCAGACAGUUUUGUUACACUGUCCGCAGACCGAAAUUGGAGGGACUCCCCUUAUCUCUCUUUUGUUUCGGAGAUUCAAUUGGGAAUCAUUCGACCAGCAUACUCCUGCGUGCAGUUCCGGA
This is a non-coding RNA of Cyanistes caeruleus (blue tit), 838 nucleotides long. Lineage: Eukaryota; Metazoa; Chordata; Aves; Passeriformes; Paridae. The record is from RefSeq and is a predicted model, not a curated record.